This 113-nucleotide ribosomal RNA is filed under the name Octodon degus (degu). Lineage: Eukaryota; Metazoa; Chordata; Mammalia; Rodentia; Octodontidae. The record is from RNAcentral.
GUCUGCGGCCAUACCACCCUGAACGCGCCCGAUCUCGUCUGAUCUCGGAAGCUAAGCAGGGUUGGGCCUGGUUAGUACUUGGAUGGGAGAAUCACAUUUUGUUCCCACAGGCU